UGGGGAAUAUUGCACAAUGGGCGCAAGCCUGAUGCAGCCAUGCCGCGUGUAUGAAGAAGGCCUUCGGGUUGUAAAGUACUUUCAGCGGGGAGGAAGGGAGUAAAGUUAAUACCUUUGCUCAUUGACGUUACCCGCAGAAGAAGCACCGGCUAACUCCGUGCCAGCAGCCGCGGUAAUACGGAGGGUACAAGCGUUAAUCGGAAUUACUGGGCGUAAAGCGCACGCAGGCGGUUUGUUAAGUCAGAUGUGAAAUCCCCGGGCUCAACCUGGGAACUGCAUCUGAUACUGGCAAGCUUGAGUCUCGUAGAGGGGGGUAGAAUUCCAGGUGUAGCGGUGAAAUGCGUAGAGAUCUGGAGGAAUACCGGUGGCGAAGGCGGCCCCCUGGACGAAGACUGACGCUCAGGUGCGAAAGCGUGGGGAGCAAACA
This 427-nucleotide ribosomal RNA is filed under the name uncultured bacterium. RNAcentral describes it as "partial 16S ribosomal RNA". It matches the Rfam family "Bacterial small subunit ribosomal RNA", at positions 355 to 774 of the family's 1533-position model. The record is from RNAcentral.